RNAcentral lists this ribosomal RNA (505 nucleotides) under uncultured bacterium. Its description in RNAcentral is "bacterial SSU rRNA". It matches the Rfam family "Bacterial small subunit ribosomal RNA", at positions 32 to 507 of the family's 1533-position model. The record is from RNAcentral.
GACGACGCUGGCGGCGUGCCUAACACAUGCAAGUCUAGGAGAAUAAGCGCUUUCGGGUGCUUUAGUAAACUGGCGAACGGGUGAGUACCACGUAGGUAACCUGCCCUUGGAUUGGGGAUAACACUGCUAACGCGGUGCUAAUACCGAAUAACGCAACGAGGUUUCAUGAUCUUGUUGUUAAAGCUGGCCUCUAUUUAUAAGCUAGCGUCUGAGGAUGGACCUGCGUCCCAUUAGUUAGUUGGCGGGGUAACGGCCCACCAAGACCGCGAUGGGUAGCCGGCCUGAGAGGGUGACCGGCCACACUGGGACUGAGAUACGGCCCAGACUCCUACGGGAGGCAGCAGUGAGGAAUAUUGCGCAAUGGCCGAAAGGCUGACGCAGCAACGCCGCGUGAGGGAUGAAGUUCUUCGGAAUGUAAACCUCUGUUAGAGGGGACGAAUGAGAGAGAGACCAAUAGACUCUCUCUUUGACGGUACCUUCAGAGAAAGCCCCGGCUAACUCCGUG